Symphalangus syndactylus (siamang) is the source of this 440-nucleotide long non-coding RNA. RefSeq lists it as uncharacterized. NCBI's taxonomy places the organism in Eukaryota, Metazoa, Chordata, Mammalia, Primates, Hylobatidae. The record is from RefSeq and is a predicted model, not a curated record.
GUCGCUGUGCUUCGCGGCGGCGCGGGUCUUCCCUUUCCCAGGAGAAAAGAAAAGAAAAAUGGAGUCGCAGCCGGCUUCGGCAGGUGUUGGGGCCAGGGGUGUGAGACGCCGAGGCCGCGGGGACUUCCCCAUCUGCUUCCAACCGACGAAAGCGUGAAGUGAGGCGCGCCCAGUCCCAACCUGCCCAGGAACCUUCCCCUGGGAAGAUGAAGCUCCCUGGAAGAGGCUUCUUAGACGUGACCAUCUCCAGGAACCAGCGGGCAACCUUUAAGUGUGUGUGACCAGACCUCCAGCUAUAAGCAUGACGUGCAGUACAGAACAGCCUGCUAUGAAACUGAAAUUGAUUGGACAUUUUAUAGGAAUUGAUAGAGAUGAAGGUCCUCAAAAGCUUUAAAUCUGUGAUCUGCAAAAUAAAAUGUGUUGGAAACCUCUGGACAAAA